Non-coding RNA from Pholiota molesta, 86 nucleotides. NCBI's taxonomy places the organism in Eukaryota, Fungi, Basidiomycota, Agaricomycetes, Agaricales, Strophariaceae. The record is from the annotation of a GenBank genome assembly.
UCUCUGUUAGUAUAUCGGUUAGUACACGCGCCUGUCAUCAGUUCCACUGGUCGCGCGAAAGCUGGGUUCGACUCCCAGACAGAGAG